UGAGUAACCUGCCCUUAACUCUGGGAUAAGCCUGGGAAACUGGGUCUAAUACCGGAUAUGACUCCUCAUCGCAUGGUGGGAGGUGGAAAGCUUUUUGUGGUUUUGGAUGGACUCGCGGCCUAUCAGCUUGUUGGUGAGGUAAUGGCUCACCAAGGCGACGACGGGUAGCCGGCCUGAGAGGGUGACCGGCCACG
This 194-nucleotide ribosomal RNA is filed under the name uncultured bacterium. Its description in RNAcentral is "partial 16S ribosomal RNA". It matches the Rfam family "Bacterial small subunit ribosomal RNA", at positions 118 to 311 of the family's 1533-position model. The record is from RNAcentral.